CCAGACUCCUACGGGAGGCAGCAGUGAGGAAUACUGGUCAAUGGGCGAGAGCCUGAACCAGCCAAGUCGCGUGAGGGAAGACGGUCCUAUGGAUUGUAAACCUCUUUUGCCGGGGAGCAAAAAGCGGUACGCGUACCGCAUCGAGAGUACCCGGAGAAAAAGCAUCGGCUAACUCCGUGCCAGCAGCCGCGGUAAUACGGAGGAUGCGAGCGUUAUCCGGAUUUAUUGGGUUUAAAGGGUGCGUAGGCGGGCUUUUAAGUCAGCGGUAAAAAUUCGGGGCUCAACCCCGUCCGGCCGUUGAAACUGGCAGUCUCGAGUUGGAGAGAAGUAUGCGGAAUGCGCGGUGUAGCGGUGAAAUGCAUAGAUAUCGCGCAGAACUCCGAUUGCGAAGGCAGCAUGCCGGCUCCACACUGACGCUGAGGCACGAAAGCGUGGGUAUCGAACAGGAUUAGAUACCCCCGUA
RNAcentral lists this ribosomal RNA (463 nucleotides) under uncultured bacterium. Its description in RNAcentral is "bacterial SSU rRNA". It matches the Rfam family "Bacterial small subunit ribosomal RNA", at positions 331 to 792 of the family's 1533-position model. The record is from RNAcentral.